Molecule: ribosomal RNA, 426 nt
Filed under: Paenibacillaceae bacterium CL2.103
Lineage: Bacteria; Bacillati; Bacillota; Bacilli; Caryophanales; Paenibacillaceae
Description: bacterial SSU rRNA
Rfam family: Bacterial small subunit ribosomal RNA
Source: RNAcentral
ACUUAGCGGCGGACGGGUGAGUAACACGUGGGUAACCUGCCUAUAAGACUGGGAUAACAUUCGGAAACGAAUGCUAAUACCGGAUACGCGAUUUGGUCGCAUGAUCGAAUCGGGAAAGAUGGAGCAAUCUAUCACUUAUAGAUGGACCCGCGGCGCAUUAGCUAGUUGGUGAGGUAACGGCUCACCAAGGCGACGAUGCGUAGCCGACCUGAGAGGGUGAUCGGCCACACUGGGACUGAGACACGGCCCAGACUCCUACGGGAGGCAGCAGUAGGGAAUCUUCCGCAAUGGACGAAAGUCUGACGGAGCAACGCCGCGUGAGUGAUGAAGGUUUUCGGAUCGUAAAGCUCUGUUGCCAGGGAAGAAUGCUUGGGAGAGUAACUGCUCYCAAGGUGACGGUACCUGAGAAGAAAGCCCCCGGCUAAC